Non-coding RNA from Xyrichtys novacula (pearly razorfish), 3832 nucleotides. The record is from the annotation of a GenBank genome assembly. Lineage: Eukaryota; Metazoa; Chordata; Actinopteri; Labriformes; Labridae.
GCUUUGUUGCUACCGGCUUAGCCAACUUAUUCCGACCACUCCUAAAGCGUCAGCCGUUCCAGCAAAAGCAAUUACAUGCCCCUGCCCUGAAAGCGAAGUGGAGAGGUUCUCUCUUUAAAGUGUGUAAAAAAUCCCUCCUAGUUUAAUUAUGUGGUGCUGGGUGGAACCUGGAGGCUGCUCUCUCCUGCCCUGCUUCAACAUAAGAGCCUUUUCCAUGGCAAGAGCAUGCAACAUGUUGGUUCCCACAGAGGGAUCGGAAGCACGGCGGAUCCCAAAAAACCAGGGUUACAGCAUUCCUGGAUCUGCAAGAAAGCAUGGUGACCUAAUCGCCUGACCACCUACCACUCCGUGCCAAAUCCCGAGCAGCAGGCCAGACACCCCUGAGAGUAACAUCCGACUGCACCAUGAAAUAUUACGUCAGGAGUGAGUCACUGGACACUGAGCCUGGGUUAGAGCAGCUUUACGUGCUCACAAACACAGGAGCUCUGAUCAGACUGCAUUCAGCCUCUGAGUAAACUCUAUCACUGAGAGGAAAUUUGUCACUCCUGGCAGACUUUUUACGAAGUUUCGUAAUGUUGUUGUGCGUUUCAUCCAAAGUUUGAGGAAGUGGAAACUGUUUUUUUUCCCUAACAUUCAAAAAGUCUUGUAAACAAGAGUUUAAUACGUAAUUUUAUAGUUAUGUAAAAUUAAUGAGCCAUGUAACAACUACAUGAGUUAUAAAAAUUUGCCAUUAUGAAUAAUAACUUAAAGGAUUUCAUCCAACUAACUGUCAAGUAUUUCAAACUGAUUUAUUUUCCUCUCAGAGGGAGAAACCUGUAUCAAACGUCUUCAAGUCCAUCACAUUACACUGAAAUUUCUUUGACAAACGCUUCCUCCUCAUUUUGCAUCCAGAUGUUUUGCCAUGUGGAUUUUGGAAACAAAUUUUCCCUCUGACAAAUAACCAAGCUGGAGACCCUGAGUUAGAUAAACAAAUUUGUCUCUCCUAAUAAAUCAGUUCAUGUUGGUUUUAUUACUGUUUUGACGUGUGAGGCAAGCACAUCAUCAGUCAGUGUGUGCAGAAAAACUCAACGAGUGAAAGAGAGAGAGAGACUGUGACCACUGACCGGUUUUCUUUCCUGCCAUGUGUGUUAAAUAUACUGUUUUAAUUUGCCGGUGUUAUGUCAUCAACUGAUGCUAACACUGUCAACACCAUCAAUGAUUGUUCUUCAAUCAGACGGAUUUGUGGUGUCUCAACCAUCUUCGUUAUCCUUAAAGGACGAUGCACACUUAGUGAUUGAACCUUGCCUGCGUGGCAAUGCUAGAGAGAAGAUAAAAACUCAAAUAUAAGGACAUGUGUUGGGCAUGUUGCUGAAAAUUUUUAAAAAGCUGCUAUUACAAGCUUAUAAAUAUAUAAAACGCUCAACGGGGAUUGCUAAUUAACUCCUUGAAAGCAGCACACAAUACAUGUAAUAGCAUAUGAUAUAAUACAAAUUUAAAGGGCUAUUCCAGCAUAAAAUUAAGUUAGGGUCAAACACACAGUAACGCCGAGUUAGACACCAAGUCGAGAGAUGAAUGUUGCCGACCGCUUGCUCCUGUAGUUAUAUCAACUUUAGUAAGUAAUAAUCAUAAAUGUUCUUCUUUAGGUUCGCCUGCCCCUGCUGCAGUCGAUGGACUCGCCCGGAGGUCUCCGUACAAACAAGCGGCUGCUGGAAGAGAGAGGGUGAGUUGUGUUUAAUCUCUUUGUUAAAGAAAUUAGGCAAAGUUAAAAAGAUGUUUGGUGGCUAGUACUAUGUCUGAGACCCUAUAUGUCCUGUUGAUAAAGUUAGAUGCUGUUCUGAGCAUAAUUUGUGGCUAUAGAGUUGCCUUUUGGUUGAGCACGUGGCUCUCUGUAUUGCUAUCUGCGGUCUUUACUAAAGUUGGUAUAACUAGAGAAGCAAGCAGUCGGCAACAUUCAUCUCUUGUCGGGGUGUCUAACUCGACAGAAUGCAAUACAACACUGCAUCAUGGGAUAAGGAGCAUUGUUGCAGUGUGAUGUGAUACAAUAUGAUACGAUACAACCAUAAAAAUACAUGGUAUGAUUCAUGAUAAGCGGCUGUGUGGUAUAAUAUAACAAAAUAAUAUCACACUGCAACACUGUUUACUGGUUUAAUUCAAAGGUCAGUGGAAAAGCAAGGCAGCUGUGUCUCACUAUUAAGUCUUGACUGAUUUAGCUGGAUAUGUAUUAGUCCACACCCUAACAACCAGGGCGGCUAUUACCAACAAAAUAGUCAAAUUUGACAAAAACAGUGGUUAAUCAUCGACUGAGCCAUUACUUGCUGUUUUUAGUGGCAAAACCAAGCUCUGGGCUGUGAUAUGAGAGUUAUGAUUCAUUAUGUACUUUGUUCAAAGCGAGUCAGCUGAAAACCUUAUCUAUUUUUUUUUUAAGUAUAGUUGAAGGGUUUAGUUAGGGUGACCACACGUCCUCUUAUACCCGGACAUGUCCUCUUUUUUGGGGGGGCUCUCUGGCUUGUCCAGCGUUGUCAGGAGGAGUUUCUAAAAUCCUUCAAAUGUCCGGGGUUUGUAAAGAAGUUUUGAGUUUGUGUCAUGUGGACUUACAGAGUUAGAAGCCCAUAAAAAACGCUUGAUCCAACCUGAAAAACUCAAAAUUAAGUGCAUGUGACUCUGUGACUCAAUCCCUGCGUAGUCGUGUCCUUUUUUUGGGGAUUCAGAAUAUGGUGUUCCUAGUUAAAUCAUUUUAUAUUUCUUUAUUUGAGAAGCAGUCAACUGAUAAAUGUUUUAUGCCAAUAGAAGGAGCUGAUGUUAGCUCACAAAAUUCUGCUUUUAAAUCAAAAGAAUCUGCUCUGAUGUGUAUCUGGCUCAGAGAUAGAAACCUACCUCUCUCUUUCUUUAUAAGGAAAUGUCAUGUCAAAACACUUGAUGAAGUCAGAACUCACCAAGUAGAAAUAAAACCCAGGAUCAAAAUAUCUUCUGAAAAUCUUCAUUUUACUGCCAAAUGUUUUUUAAUAGGUCAAGUAUUUUGUUUCUUUUCUGUCUCUACCCCGUCGUCGCCUCUCCUGUUGCCCAUGGUUCGCCCACACAAGGGAUGUUAGCAUAGUCCGACUGCUUGGAAUUCCUUCCUGCUGUCUUGGGAGCACACACUGCAUUUUAAAACUUGUUGGGCCCUUUCAAGUUUUAUUUGAAAGUAUGUAAUUACAUUCUCGCAGGAAUAAGGGGUUCCUGGAGUGAUUUACAUGCUGUAUUAAAUGUCACAGUUUUUUAAAAGAUGAGCUGUUGACACACAGCUGUUUAAGAACGUAUUGAUAGCCUGUAAUGAUAAGACAGCUUUGGGCAAUAAAUAGAGAUGUAGUGAUAUAAUGUGGAGGAGUGGUAGAAAUGAGGGCGGACUCCACCUGUGGUUUGUUUUUGACUGUUUUUUGUUUUGUUUGUGUUUCAUGAGAUUAAACCAAUAAAUCAUGCAGCCAAUUUGUUUUUUAUACUUUUGCCUUUCAGUUUCAAGCGAAGUUUGAUAAGUUAGUGCAUGACUUUAAAUCAGAUUAGGAACAUUUGGUCUACCGCAUUGCCUUUUAUUUAAUUAUGGUCUAUUCUGGUCAACUUCCAUCCAGUCAAGUCUAAUCUAUCUCCUUCUCGAGCACCACUACAUAGCACUCGUGCGGUUCUCUAUCACAGCACCACUGCUGGAGAAUUUAUUUAGCUGCCCGUUAGGCCUGGCCCUCUUGGGGACGGCGGUGCGGACAAAGACAGCUCCCCUCUCAGAUUAAAGGAGUGUCUUCAAGUGCCAAUCCAAAUGGUGAUAAAAAAGCUUUUUAAUCCAUCAAGAAACCUUCCUGGUGUAACGUCCCCAGAGUCCAAGCGU